This 301-nucleotide ribosomal RNA is filed under the name uncultured bacterium. RNAcentral's name for it is "partial 16S ribosomal RNA". It matches the Rfam family "Bacterial small subunit ribosomal RNA", at positions 509 to 807 of the family's 1533-position model. The record is from RNAcentral.
CAGUCGCCGCGGGAAUACGAAGGGUGCAAGCGUUAAUCGGAAUUACUGGGCGUAAAGCGUGCGUAGGCGGUUUGUUAAGUCUGUUGUGAAAUCCCCGGGCUCAACCUGGGAAUGGCAAUGGAUACUGGCAAGCUAGAGUGUGUCAGAGGAUGGUGGAAUUCCCGGUGUAGCGGUGAAAUGCGUAGAGAUCGGGAGGAACAUCAGUGGCGAAGGCGGCCAUCUGGGACAACACUGACGCUGAGGCACGAAAGCGUGGGGAGCAAACAGGAUUAGAUACCCGCGUAGUCCCUGUCUCUUAUAC